This 438-nucleotide ribosomal RNA is filed under the name uncultured bacterium. RNAcentral's name for it is "bacterial SSU rRNA". It matches the Rfam family "Bacterial small subunit ribosomal RNA", at positions 28 to 507 of the family's 1533-position model. The record is from RNAcentral.
GACGAACGCUGGCGGUGUGCUUCACACAUGCAAGUCGAACGAGGUAGCAAUACCUAGUGGCGGACGGGUGAGUAACGCGUGGGAAUCUGCCUUAAGAUGGGGGAUAACGAGCCGAAAGGCUCGCUAAUACCGCAUAUGCCGAAAGGUGAAAGGAGUAAUCCGUCUUAAGAUGAGCCCGCGUCCGAUUAGCUAGUUGGUAAGGUAAAGGCCUACCAAGGCGACGAUCGGUAGCUGGUCUGAGAGGAUGAUACAGCCACAAUGGGACUGAGACACGGCCCAUACUCCUACGGGAGGCAGCAGUGGGGAAUUUUACGCAAUGGGGGAAACCCUGACGUAGCGACACCGCGUGAGCGAAGAAGCCCCUUGGGGUGUAAAGCUCUGUCAGCUGGAACGAAAAAAAUGACGGUACCAGCAGAGGAAGCAUCGGCUAACUACGUG